CGCGGGAUUGGACGGGGCGCAGCAGGCGCGAAACCUUUACAAUGCACGCAAGUGCGAUAAGGGGAUUCUAAGUGCUCAUGUUACGCAUGGGCUUUUGCCAAGAGUAAAUAUCUUGGCGAAUAAGUGGUGGGCAAGACUGGUGCCAGCAGCCGCGGUAACACCAGCGCCACGAGUGGCAACCAGAAUUAUUGGGCCUAAAGCGUUCGUAGCCGGUUAUACAAAUCUUUUGUGAAAUUGUAGAGCUCAACUUUGCAGAUGGCAGAAGACACUAUAUAACUAGGGACCGGAAGGAGUUAGGAGUAUUAAUAGGGGAGCGGUAAAAUGUUGUAAUCCUAUUAAGACUACCUGUGGCGAAGGCGCCUAACCAGUACGGAUCCGACGGUGAGGAACGAAAGCCAGGGGAGCGAUCCGGAUUAGAUACCCGAGUAGUCCUGGCCGUAAACUCUGCGAGCAAGGUGUUGCAUAUUUUACGAGAAUAUGCAGUGUCGAAACGAAGGUGUUAAGCUCGCCGCCUGGGGAGUACGGUCGCAAGACUGAAACUUAAAGGAAUUGGCGGGGGAGCACUACAAGGGGUGCGGCGUGCGGUUUAAUCGAACUUUACACCGAGAAUCUCACCAAGAGCGACGGCAGGAUGAAAGUCAGGCUAAAGACCUUACUUGACAAGCCGAGAGGUGGUGCAUGGCCGCCGCCAGCUCGUGCCGUAAGGUGUCCAGUUAAGUCUGGUAACGAGCAAGACCUGUGCCUACAAUUGCCAGCGAGCAUUUUUGUGAUCGGGCACAAUGUAGGAACUGCUUUGGAAACAAAGAGGAAGGUGCAGGCAACGGUAGGUCUGUAUGCCCCGAAUCCCUUGGGCUACACGCGCGCAACAAUGGUAAGGACAACGGGAUGCCACUCCGAAAGGAGAAGCUAAGCCUCUAAACCUUAUCUAAGUCCAGAUUGAGGGUUGUAACUCACCCUCAUGACGAUGGAAUCCCUAGUAAUCAGAAGUCAUCAGCUUCCGGUGAAUAUGUCCCUGCUCCUUGCACGAAGUCGCCGAAUCACUAGU
Molecule: ribosomal RNA, 1045 nt
Filed under: uncultured crenarchaeote
Lineage: Archaea; Thermoproteati; Thermoproteota
Description: bacterial SSU rRNA
Rfam family: Archaeal small subunit ribosomal RNA
Source: RNAcentral